CCAGACUCCUACGGGAGGCAGCAGUGAGGAAUAUUGGUCAAUGGUCGGGAGACUGAACCAGCCAAGCCGCGUGAGGGAGGAAGGUACAGAGUAUCGUAAACCUCUUUUGCCGGGGAGCAAGGGCGGGGACGUGUCCCGGCCCGGAGAGUACCCGGAGAAAAAGCAUCGGCUAACUCCGUGCCAGCAGCCGCGGUAAUACGGAGGAUGCGAGCGUUAUCCGGAUUUAUUGGGUUUAAAGGGUGCGUAGGCGGGCUGUUAAGUCAGCGGUCAAAUGUCGGGGCUCAACCCCGGCCUGCCGUUGAAACUGGCGGCCUCGAGUGGGCGAGAAGUAUGCGGAAUGCGUGGUGUAGCGGUGAAAUGCAUAGAUAUCACGCAGAACUCCGAUUGCGAAGGCAGCAUACCGGCGCCCGACUGACGCUGAGGCACGAAAGCGUGGGUAUCGAACAGGAUUAGAUACCCGUGUA
RNAcentral lists this ribosomal RNA (464 nucleotides) under uncultured bacterium. Its description in RNAcentral is "bacterial SSU rRNA". It matches the Rfam family "Bacterial small subunit ribosomal RNA", at positions 331 to 792 of the family's 1533-position model. The record is from RNAcentral.